RNAcentral lists this ribosomal RNA (330 nucleotides) under Artema transcaspica. RNAcentral's name for it is "partial 12S ribosomal RNA". The record is from RNAcentral. Lineage: Eukaryota; Metazoa; Arthropoda; Arachnida; Araneae; Pholcidae.
AUUAUAGAAACAUUAAGGUAGUAUCGCAAAGAAAAACCUAUAUGGCUUGACGGUUAUGAUAAAUUAGAGAAACUCGCCCCAUAAUCGUAAACACCCGUUAAUUUUAACCUAUUCUCAAAGCCUAUAUACCGCCGUCAUCUAGCCUAAAUCAAAAAAAACAACAAAAAAAACACAUUUCAAAAAUCAGGUCAAGGUGUAGCCCAUGAUUAGAUGUGAGGGUAAGUUACACUAAAAAAUAUUUAAGGAUUUAUCUUACAAAUCAAGAAAGGAAAGAGAAUCUAACCGUACACGGUGAUUAAAAAUCACAAUCGAUAUUUAUAAUCAUAAUGC